RNAcentral lists this ribosomal RNA (591 nucleotides) under Triticum aestivum (bread wheat). Its description in RNAcentral is "partial small subunit ribosomal RNA". Lineage: Eukaryota; Viridiplantae; Streptophyta; Magnoliopsida; Poales; Poaceae. The record is from RNAcentral.
AUGAAGGUUGAUUUAGUAUCCAGAUUCCCCAUAAGUUAUGUCAUAAAGAAAAGCUUCCUAGUUGACAAUGCACAAAUGCUGCCCUCUACAAAGUCAACUCCAAGCAAAGAACUGGAGAACAGUCCAUGGUCAUCAAAGAGCAUCCAGAGUCCAGGGAGCCUAACACAAGUCCACUUGGGCAAUACUAUGCCUCCCCCUUGCCAAUCUGCAACUAUGGACACCGACAAAAACAUAAAUAGGUACUCUUCAGCGAAAAGAAGCAUCCAAUUUACAGAAGAUGGAGCCACCAACAAAGAGGGUACAUCUACCUGUUUACAUGCCAGUCAACAAACAGAGUACGCAUUGAUAACAAUAUUUCCUGUUUACAUGCCAGUCAACAACAGGAAUAUCUUCAGGAUACACAAGUGCAUCUCCAGGUUGUCAAAAAGCAUAAGCAAGAGGCACCAUCAACAACCAUGCAAGGACCAGGGCAUCUUCAAGACGCACGAAAAGCACCUACAGAUUGCACCACCUUCCAUUGAAAAUUACCUCCAAAACUAUCAUUACAACUACUUCAUGAUCAGCCUAAGUAUGUCGUCAGAUAUCGACUAA